Bombus huntii is the source of this 1484-nucleotide long non-coding RNA. RefSeq lists it as uncharacterized. The record is from RefSeq and is a predicted model, not a curated record. Lineage: Eukaryota; Metazoa; Arthropoda; Insecta; Hymenoptera; Apidae. The transcript has 3 exons.
ACUACCACCACUACCGCUACCGACGACUACGACGCCGCAACUCGCACGUCCCAUCGAACAGAACACGCUUCUCGCUACUCGCUGUUAUUAUUCGCGAUGAUUGUUUCCGACUGAUCGACACCUUAUUGUGCAAACGAGCCCGGCAACCUGAUCUUACUCCAUUAACGACACCUCGAUCGAGAAAAGCCUUCUGUUUCGGGCAGGCAUUUCCACCAACUUCCGAAUAAUUCCGUAAUUAAAGUUUUCCCGAUUCUCUCUUACCGGAUUUUCACAAAAUCUUCCCCUCUUCAUCGCCAGCUUCGCCUUCGUUCCAUCGUUCUCUCUGCAAUUCGAUUUCACGGAAAUUUUGCUGCCUUUGUCACUUCGUUGCUUUGUGGGUGAUAAAUAGGCUCGUAUUCGAUAUUAUGCGAGGCCGUACGGAACUGGAUGGGAGGCUAGUUGAAGAAAACUAGAUUUGAUUGGUUUGCGACGUAAUGGGCCCAUCUUCGCUUGAUAUGAUAAUAAAUAUAAGGUAUUUGUAUUUUUGUUAUUGAUGAGAUGGUCAUAAAUCUGUAAAGACGCGGAAAUUUUUCAUCAGUCUCGAAAUUUCUAAUAAAGUUUCUAAUACAAUUUCUGAUUAUAUAUACAUCGAGGAGGACCAAGAAAACGUAUCUUGUCAUUGCACCUUCACGCUACCAAUAGCUUUACCUAAAUUACCUUUGUACACGCGUCUUCGUAUUAGCUGACAUCGACCACUGUGGUCACUUAUACGGGGAUCCGAAGUUUUAAGUGGAUUCCGAACCACAGAUGCCAAGAGCACAACGGAGUUCUUAGUGAGCUGCUCUCCUCUAACGAGGAGAACUGUGUGCGCGACGUUCUAGCUAGUAAUUUGACUCGAAUUUUGCACAUAGUUAAAGGGUAGUAUAUAUAAUAAUACAAUAAAUGAGCGACUCCCGUUGCUCGAAAUUUUGCGACAAUGAAGCGGGUGAAGUAAUUCUCCUGUUUUAACAAUUACAAUUGAUACGGAUAACGAUGCGGGCUCGUGACGUUAAAGACUCGGUUGAUUAAUGCGAAUUCGAUCUUAAUAAUCGUCGCGAUUGGAAAUUAUCAGUAUCAGAUAAUCCGAAUGAGACAAAGUCUUUGAUCACUUGAACUAAUGACUAUAUUAAUAUUACGAAUAAUUAUGUGUUUACGGGAAACUUCAAGUCGUCGAAAUGUACAAAAUACACAUGAUGCAGGUAUAAUGAGUCGUCAUGGCAAGGCUAUUUUCAUUAAGGUAAAAUUUCUCCAAAUUUCACCGUAAAAUUAGUAUAUUCUAUUAGUAUAUUGUGUCUUACUUUAAUAGCAAAACGGGGUUCUUUUAAAAUAUUAAAAUAUUCUACAGUUUGUCAGAUAUUGUUUUUUUAAGUUCAAAUAUUUUUGUGAAAUUCUGCUAUGAGAUAAUUAUUGUUAUUUUAUACGUUAAUAAAUGAACUUUAAUAACUGUUAAACAUUAAUAAAUAGAU